This 76-nucleotide microRNA precursor is filed under the name Myotis davidii. RNAcentral's name for it is "mir-9193 microRNA precursor family". It matches the Rfam family "mir-9193 microRNA precursor family". Lineage: Eukaryota; Metazoa; Chordata; Mammalia; Chiroptera; Vespertilionidae. The record is from Rfam by way of RNAcentral.
CUCGGGGUGGCUGGGGGUCCCUCAGCCUGGAUGGCGAGAGGGCGCAGGCCAGGUCGAGGGACCCCACUGGUGCACG